UUCUGGUUAGUUUAGUGGCUAUGACGGCGCCUUGUCAUUUGAUGUUCAAGUGCGCUCGGCGCAGACCCGGGUUCAAUUCCCGGACCGGAAG
This is a non-coding RNA of Violaceomyces palustris, 91 nucleotides long. The record is from the annotation of a GenBank genome assembly. NCBI's taxonomy places the organism in Eukaryota, Fungi, Basidiomycota, Ustilaginomycetes, Violaceomycetales, Violaceomycetaceae.